UACGGAGGAUCCAAGCGUUAUCCGGGUUUAUUGGGUUUAAAGGGUGCGUAGGCGGCUUAUUAAGUCAGGGGUGAAAGACGGUGGCUCAACCAUCGCAGUGCCCUUGAUACUGAUGAGCUUGAAUACACUUGAGGUAGGCGGAAUGUGACAAGUAGCGGUGAAAUGCAUAGAUAUGUCACAGAACACCAAUUGCGAAGGCAGCUUACUAAGGUGCAAUUGACGCUGAGGCACGAAAGCGUGGGGAUCAAACAGG
RNAcentral lists this ribosomal RNA (253 nucleotides) under uncultured bacterium. RNAcentral describes it as "partial 16S ribosomal RNA". It matches the Rfam family "Bacterial small subunit ribosomal RNA", at positions 524 to 776 of the family's 1533-position model. The record is from RNAcentral.